RNAcentral lists this ribosomal RNA (465 nucleotides) under Vreelandella stevensii. RNAcentral describes it as "partial 16S ribosomal RNA". It matches the Rfam family "Bacterial small subunit ribosomal RNA", at positions 338 to 795 of the family's 1533-position model. The record is from RNAcentral. Lineage: Bacteria; Pseudomonadati; Pseudomonadota; Gammaproteobacteria; Oceanospirillales; Halomonadaceae.
CCUACGGGGGGCAGUAGUGGGGAAUAUUGGACAAUGGGCGAAAGCCUGAUCCAGCCAUGCCGCGUGUGUGAAGAAGGCCUUCGGGUUGUAAAGCACUUUCAGUGGGGAAGAAAGCCUUGGGGCUAAUACCCUCGAGGAAGGACAUCACCCACAGAAGAAGCACCGGCUAACUCCGUGCCAGCAGCCGCGGUAAUACGGAGGGUGCGAGCGUUAAUCGGAAUUACUGGGCGUAAAGCGCGCGUAGGCGGUCUGAUAAGCCGGUUGUGAAAGCCCCGGGCUCAACCUGGGAACGGCAUCCGGAACUGUCAGGCUAGAGUGCAGGAGAGGAAGGUAGAAUUCCCGGUGUAGCGGUGAAAUGCGUAGAGAUCGGGAGGAAUACCAGUGGCGAAGGCGGUCUUCUGGACUGACACUGACGCUGAGGUGCGAAAGCGUGGGUAGCAAACAGGAUUAGAUACCCGGGUAGUC